AUUGAACGCUGGCGGCAGGCCUAACACAUGCAAGUCGGACGGUAGCACAGAGGAGCUUGCUCCUCGGGUGACGAGUGGCGGACGGGUGAGUAAUGUCUGGGGAUCUGCCCGAUAGAGGGGGAUAACCACUGGAAACGGUGGCUAAUACCGCAUAACGUCGCAAGACCAAAGAGGGGGACCUUCGGGCCUCCCACUAUCGGAUGAACCCAGAUGGGAUUAGCUAGUAGGCGGGGCAACGGCCCACCUAGGCGACGAUCCCUAGCUGGUCUGAGAGGAUGACCAGCCACACUGGAACUGAGACACGGUCCAGACUCCUACGGGAGGCAGCAGUGGGGAAUAUUGCACAAUGGACGCAAUCCUGAUGCAGCCAUGCCGGGUGUAUGAAGAAGGCCUUCGGGUUGUAAAGGACUUUCAGCGGGGAGGAAGGCGAUGUGGUUAAUAACCGCGUCGAUUGACGUUACCCGCAGAAGAAGCACCGGCUAACUCCGUGCCAGCAGCCGCCGUAA
Molecule: ribosomal RNA, 506 nt
Filed under: uncultured bacterium
Lineage: Bacteria
Description: partial 16S ribosomal RNA
Rfam family: Bacterial small subunit ribosomal RNA
Source: RNAcentral